CACCAAUUCAAGAAUAGAAGAGCAACAUCCUUGAAUGCUACUUGAUUUGUGGCUUAGUUGAAUCCCAAAAAUAGAGUUGUCACUUGUUCUUUCGUUUGCUCAUGGGAGAGACUCCAACUAUCUUCAAGAAGCGUAUUAUCGUGCCUCUAAGCCAAGCAAGUUUUAUUUUGAAUUUCUUGUACAAUUAUCAUUAUUGUUCUAACAGCUUUCACAAUAAGACUUCUUAUUAAUUAAUUGGUGAAUUUUUAUCCAAAAAUGCUACUGUAAUAAAUUUUAUCAAAGUAGUUAACUCAGUCAGUGUGUGUAAUUAAUCAUCAAACUCAUUAUAUUGUUAUCCCACCCAAAUUCUCAAUUGACCAUCUAUCCGAGUAGACCACCCCACCAGCCAGCAGAGCUUGCUGCCUUUUAGUUUGCUUUCACAUUCUUCUAAGGUAAUAUUAAAUAUGUGGAAAAAAUCAAGCACCAAAUACCCAAUCUGAAAACAUCAAGCUUAAUAUUACAUAUUUUUUCACGAGAUGAUUAGAUUUGCAGCAAUUAAUCAGUUUCAAAAGUCGAAAAGACAGCGAGAAUCAGUAAUCCAAAAUAACAUAUAAUUACAUGCAAUAGUUAUCUAUUUUCAACCAUGCAUUUGUGGAUCAGAUAGAAUUACUGACAAGAAUAUAAGAAAUUUAGCAAUAGAUUCUGAGAAAACAUAGAAAAUAAAAGUUGAAACAAAAAUGAUGCUCAAAAAUCCCUUCAAGAAAGGAAAACAACGGGAAAAUGCUUACCAGAUGUAACGAGUAAGAUGGAAGCUAAGCAUCAUAAGAGGAAUAACCAAAAUCGAACCGGAAAGAAAAGGUCGGAGAGAAAAAUAACGAUGGUGUUAUUUUUGGUUUCACA
This 879-nucleotide long non-coding RNA is filed under the name Capsicum annuum. RNAcentral's name for it is "long non-coding RNA (CANN_LNC013981)". The record is from RNAcentral. Lineage: Eukaryota; Viridiplantae; Streptophyta; Magnoliopsida; Solanales; Solanaceae.